RNAcentral lists this ribosomal RNA (500 nucleotides) under uncultured bacterium. RNAcentral describes it as "partial 16S ribosomal RNA". It matches the Rfam family "Bacterial small subunit ribosomal RNA", at positions 30 to 523 of the family's 1533-position model. The record is from RNAcentral.
AUUGAACGCUGGCGGAAUGCUUUACACAUGCAAGUCGAACGGCAGCACGGACUUCGGUCUGGUGGCGAGUGGCGAACGGGUGAGUAACAUAUCGGAACGUAUCCAAUAAUGGGGGAUAACGAGUCGAAAGAUUCGCUAAUACCGCAUACGCCCUACGGGGGAAAGCUGGGGACCUUCGGGCCUGGCGUUAAUGGAGCGGCCGAUAUCUGAUUAGCUAGUUGGUGAGGUAAAGGCUCACCAGGGCGACGAUCAGUAGCUGGUCUGAGAGGACGACCAGCCACACUUGAACUGAGACACGGUCCAGACUCCUACGGGAGGCAGCAGUGGGGAAUUUUGGACAAUGGGCGCAAGCCUGAUCCAGCCAUUCCGCGUGAGUGAAGAAGGCCUUCGGGUUGUAAAGCUCUUUCGCAAGGGAAGAAAACUUAGCCACUAACAUUGGUUGAGGUUGACGGUACCUUGAUAAGAAGCACCGGCUAACUACGUGCCAGCCGCCGCGGUAA